CCUACGGGUGGCUGCAGUGAGGAAUAUUGGUCAAUGGGCGGGAGCCUGAACCAGCCAAGCCGCGUGAGGGAAGAAGGUACAGCGUAUCGUAAACCUCUUUUGUCAGGGAACAAAGGCGGGGACUAGUCCCCGGAUGAGGGUACCUGAAGAAAAAGCAUCGGCUAACUCCGUGCCAGCAGCCGCGGUAAUACGGAGGAUGCGAGCGUUAUCCGGAUUUAUUGGGUUUAAAGGGUGCGUAGGCGGUAGGAUAAGUUAGAGGUGAAAUGUCGGGGCUCAACCCCGAAACUGCCUCUAAUACUGUUGUACUAGAGAAUGGUAGCAGUAGGCGGAAUGUGUGGUGUAGCGGUGAAAUGCUUAGAGAUCAUACAGAACACCGAUUGCGAAGGCAGUUUACCAAACUAUAUCUGACGUUGAGGCACGAAAGCGUGGGUAGCGAACAGGAUUAGAUACCCGUGUAGUC
Molecule: ribosomal RNA, 460 nt
Filed under: uncultured bacterium
Lineage: Bacteria
Description: partial 16S ribosomal RNA
Rfam family: Bacterial small subunit ribosomal RNA
Source: RNAcentral